Molecule: ribosomal RNA, 301 nt
Filed under: uncultured bacterium
Lineage: Bacteria
Description: partial 16S ribosomal RNA
Rfam family: Bacterial small subunit ribosomal RNA
Source: RNAcentral
CAGUCGCCGCGGGAAUACAGAGGGUGCGAGCGUUAAUCGGAUUUACUGGGCGUAAAGCGUGCGUAGGCGGCUUCUUAAGUCGGAUGUGAAAUCCCUGAGCUUAACUUAGGAAUUGCAUUCGAUACUGGGAAGCUAGAGUAUGGGAGAGGAUGGUAGAAUUCCAGGUGUAGCGGUGAAAUGCGUAGAGAUCUGGAGGAAUACCGAUGGCGAAGGCAGCCAUCUGGCCUAAUACUGACGCUGAGGUACGAAAGCAUGGGGAGCAAACAGGAUUAGAUACCCCUGUAGUCCCUGUCUCUUACAC